GUAAAAUUUCGUGGAGGUCCGAACCCACGAGCGUUGAAAAGCUCGGGGAUGACUUGUGGGUAGCGGUGAAAUUCCAAUCGAGCCCGGAGAUAGCUGGUUCUCCCCGAAAUAGCUUUAGGGCUAGCCUCAAGGUGAGAGAUACGGAGGUAGAGCACUGAAUGUCCUAGGGGGUAUUGCACCUACCGAAGACUAUCAAACUCCGAAUGCCGUCAUCUUAUACUUGGGAGUCAGACUGUGGGUGAUAAGAUUCAUAGUCGAAAGGGCAACAGCCCAGAUCGUCAGCUAAGGUCCCUAAAUGUAAGUUAAGUGGUAAAGGAUGUGGGAUUGCACAGACAACCAGGAUGUUGGCUUAGAAGCAGCCACUCAUUCAAAGAGUGCGUAAUAGCUCACUGGUCGAGUGAUCCUGCGCCGAAGAUUUCCGGGGCUAAAACUUACUACCGAAGCUACGGCAUCAGUAAUGAUGGGUAGGGGAGCUUCCCAUACGGGUUGAAGCAUGACCGUAAGGACAUGUGGACAGUAUGGGAGUGAGAAUGUUGGCAUGAGUAGCGAGAUGUGGGUGAGAAUCCCACAGGCCGUAAACCCAAGGUUUCCAGGGGAAGGUUCGUCCGCCCUGGGUUAGUCGGGACCUAAGCUGAGGCCGAAAGGCGUAGGUGAUGGACAACAGGUUGAUAUUCCUGUACUACCGAUAACCGUUUGAGAGAAGGGAUGACACAGUAGGAUAAGCUAAGCACACUGUUGGUUAUGUGUGCCCAAGCAUUGAGGCAGUCAAAGUAGGCAAAUCCGCUUUGAUAAUGCUGGGAUGUGAUGGGGAGCGAAAUUUAGUAGCGAAGUAGCUGAUUUCACACUGUCAAGAAAAGUCUCUAUCGAGGUUAAAGGUACCCGUACCGCAAACCGACACAGGUGGGUGAGGAGAGUAUCCUAAGGCCAGCGAGAGAACUGUUGUUAAGGAACUCGGCAAAAUGACCCCGUAACUUAGGGAUAAGGGGUGCCACCAUCAGGUGGCCGCAGAGAAUAGGCCCAAGCGACUGUUUACCAAAAACAUAGGUUUCUGCUAAGUCGCAAGACGAUGUAUAGGAGCUGACGCCUGCCCGGUGCUGGAAGGUUAAGGGGAUCUGUUAGAGCAAUCGAAGCAGUGAACUUAAGCCCCAGUAAACGGCGGCCGUAACUAUAACGGUCCUAAGGUAGCGAAAUUCCUUGUCGGGUAAGUUCCGACCCGCACGAAAGGCGUAACGAUUUGGGCACUGUCUCAACAACAGACUCGGUGAAAUUGUAAUUCCGGUGAAGAUGCCGGAUACCUGCGACAGGACGGAAAGACCCCAUGGAGCUUUACUGUAGCUUGACAUUGGGUCUUGGUACUACAUGUACAGGAUAGGUGGGAGGCUUUGAAACCAGGACGCCAGUUUUGGCGGAGCCAUCCUUGGGAUACCACCCUUGUA
This 1436-nucleotide ribosomal RNA is filed under the name Clostridioides difficile. RNAcentral's name for it is "partial 23S ribosomal RNA". It matches the Rfam family "Bacterial large subunit ribosomal RNA", at positions 756 to 2210 of the family's 2925-position model. Lineage: Bacteria; Bacillati; Bacillota; Clostridia; Peptostreptococcales; Peptostreptococcaceae. The record is from RNAcentral.